UGUACACACCGCCCGUCGCUACUACCGAUUGAAUGGCUCAGUGAGGCCUUCGGACUGGUCCAGGGAGGUCGGCAACGACCACCCAGGACCGGAAAGUUGGUCAAACUCGGUCAUUUAGAGGAAGUAAAAGUCGUAACAAGGUCUCCGUAGGUGAACCUUCGGAGGGAUCAUUA
Molecule: ribosomal RNA, 173 nt
Filed under: Peltaster cerophilus
Lineage: Eukaryota; Fungi; Ascomycota; Dothideomycetes
Description: partial 18S ribosomal RNA
Rfam family: Eukaryotic small subunit ribosomal RNA
Source: RNAcentral